Molecule: non-coding RNA, 190 nt
Organism: Nothobranchius furzeri (turquoise killifish)
Lineage: Eukaryota; Metazoa; Chordata; Actinopteri; Cyprinodontiformes; Nothobranchiidae
Source: RefSeq, a predicted model, not a curated record
CUGAUGUCAUCCAGGAGGCUACUGAAUCUGGACCUGUGACUCUUGGUGGUGACAUGCGAGCUGAUUCACCUGGACACUCAGCCAAAUAUGGCAGCUACACCAUGAUGGAUCUCAAAAGAAACAAAGUUAUUGAUAUCCAACUUGUACAGAGCAAUGAAGUUGGGAAUAGUGUGCGAAUGGAGAAGAAGGG